AGAGGUCUUCCAUGAUGCAUUCG
Molecule: microRNA, 23 nt
Filed under: Dasypus novemcinctus (nine-banded armadillo)
Lineage: Eukaryota; Metazoa; Chordata; Mammalia; Cingulata; Dasypodidae
Also listed under: 1 other name
Description: dno-miR-154b-5p
Gene: dno-miR-154b-5p
Source: miRBase by way of RNAcentral